CUAGGGACUACCACAGACAACUCUCUUGAGUUCUGAAGCCACAGGUCACUACCCUCAUGUCACCAGAAUCCCUGCCUUCUACAAGCCCAGAGGCAAGGACAGAGCAGCGGUGAAAGGACCAUGGAUCCAACUAAACCCUUCUCCCAUGUGCAGUUUAUAAAGCUGACUUCUCAAACUUCUUCCACCUUGAGAAAGAUCACUCCUGCCCCUCGCAACCCGCCUUCUGCCCCAGAUCCCAGACUUCAGGAACAACCCCCUAUCCUCUAGAUCUUGGUUCUCUGGAGCAAUGAGAGGCCACUCCCAUCCAGGUGGCCGGAGACAGCUGUGCCCUUGACAGUCAUUGAUGGGCACAGGAAGGUGGACUUUGCCUUUCUGGUGUGGCAGAGCUUCCCAGAGCGGAUGGUGGGCUUCCUGACGUCGAGCCAUUUCUGGGACGAGGCCCAUGGUGGCUGGGGCUACACUGCUGAGAGGACCAACGAAUUCUCCAUGGUUCUCACCACAGCCGCCUUCUACCAUAGGUAUUACCACACUCUCUUCACCCACUCCCUGCCCAAGGCUCUGAGGACCCUGGCAGAUGAGGCACCCACCUGUGUGGACGUCCUGAUGAAUUUCAUAGUAGCAGCAGUCACCAAGCUGCCCCCUAUCAAGGUGCCCUAUGGCAAGCAGCGCCAGGAGGCUGCUCCACUG
RNAcentral lists this small RNA (687 nucleotides) under Pan troglodytes (chimpanzee). RNAcentral describes it as "processed transcript". The record is from RNAcentral. Lineage: Eukaryota; Metazoa; Chordata; Mammalia; Primates; Hominidae.